UGACCUGGCUCGCUUGUCCAGCAAGGAGAGGAUUCCAGAGAUCCACCUGAAGUACGCCAUAUACCUGGAGGACGAGGGAAGGUUUCCUGAGGCUGAAGUCGAGUUCAUUAAAGCAGGAAAACCCAAAGAAGCCGUGUCGAUGUACGUCCACCACA
Long non-coding RNA from Nematolebias whitei (Rio pearlfish), 155 nucleotides. RefSeq lists it as uncharacterized. The record is from RefSeq and is a predicted model, not a curated record. NCBI's taxonomy places the organism in Eukaryota, Metazoa, Chordata, Actinopteri, Cyprinodontiformes, Rivulidae. The transcript has 3 exons.